This 497-nucleotide ribosomal RNA is filed under the name uncultured bacterium. Its description in RNAcentral is "partial 16S ribosomal RNA". It matches the Rfam family "Bacterial small subunit ribosomal RNA", at positions 28 to 507 of the family's 1533-position model. The record is from RNAcentral.
GACGAACGCUGGCGGCGUGCCUAAUACAUGCAAGUUGAGCGAUGAAGAUUGGUGCUUGCACCAAUUUGAAGAGCCGCGAACGGGUGUGUCACGCGUGGGGACUCUGCUUUUCAGCGGGGGACCACAUUUGAACACGAAUGCUAAUCCCGCAUAACCACUUUCAACAUAGGUUUUGAGUUUGAAAUUUGCCAUUGCAUCACUCAAAGAUGAUCCUGCGUUGUAUUAGGUCGUUGGUGAGGUACAGGCUCACCAAGGCGAUGAUACAUAGCCGACCUGAUCGGAUGAGUGGCCACAUUGGGACUGAGACACGCCACAAACGGCUACGGGAGGCAGCCGGAGUGAAACGGCAGCAAUGAGCGAAAGUCUGACCGCGCAACGCCGCGUGAGGGAGGAAGGUUGUCGGAUCGGAAAACUCUGUUGGCAGAUAAGAACGCUGGUGAGAGUGUAAAGCUCAGCAAGUGACGGUAACGACCCAGAAAGGGACGGCUAACUACGUG